Dromiciops gliroides (monito del monte) is the source of this 751-nucleotide long non-coding RNA. RefSeq lists it as uncharacterized. NCBI's taxonomy places the organism in Eukaryota, Metazoa, Chordata, Mammalia, Microbiotheria, Microbiotheriidae. The record is from RefSeq and is a predicted model, not a curated record. The transcript has 2 exons.
CAGCAUUGGAGAGGAGACAGAGGCCAGAUGAAAAAGGAGAGAAGAGUGAAUUAGGGGAGGGAGGAGGAGACCCGCUCCAACCUCAAGCACAUUCAUACUGAAGAGUUUACUGCAACAUAUCAUUUCUUUCUUAUGGUGUGUGGAUAUAUUCAGUACAAAUGAAGUAUCUCUGAUGACUGCCUGUUGGGUGGAGGAAAGUCACAGGCUUCCCUGAAUGGCUGGAAGGAAGAGAUUAGAUAAAUUGAAGAUGGCAGGGGCCCAUGGGAGCUGCAAGAAAGUUCAGAGGCUGAGGAAGACCUACUAAGGCCUAAAAGAAAUACAAAACCAGAGGGAAAUGGAUGUUGAAAUUAUAUUUAAAUGGCGUAUGGUGAUAAUGGGCACUGUGCAUGUGGCAGUGAGAGUCUCUUCUCUGUCAGUGAUCAUUUUGAAUAGCCUGACUCCUCUCUUCAGCUGUGUCAGCACUUCAGUGUGUAAGCAUUGUAUUUGUCUUUGUAAUUUUUUGAAAAGCAAUAAUUUUUAAGAAUUUGGGUGACAAAUCUUAGCAGGAUGAGUUUUGUCUAUCUUUUUUUUUUCUUUUCCCAUGAAGUAAUAAGUAUCCUCACAACUCCCUAGGACUUACUCUUAAGUCAUAGACAGGUUGAGAUCUUUGUUGGAAGAAGGAAUUCUCAGUAUUGGCAAUCCUUUGACUGAAGAAAUCUCAGAUCAAUUAUAUUUAUGUAUCUUCUCACAAAAUAAAUAUUAUAAAAGCUGA